Molecule: ribosomal RNA, 412 nt
Filed under: Opisthopatus cinctipes
Lineage: Eukaryota; Metazoa; Onychophora; Udeonychophora; Euonychophora; Peripatopsidae
Also listed under: 1 other name
Description: bacterial SSU rRNA
Rfam family: Eukaryotic small subunit ribosomal RNA
Source: RNAcentral
GAAGGGGAUCAAAUACAGCCCUAGUUCUGACCAUAAACGAUGCCACCUGACGAUCCUCCAGGGUUACUACCAUGACUCGGCGGGCAGUCCCCGGGAAACCCAAGCCUUCGGGUUCCGGGGGAAGUAUGGUUGCAAAGCUGAAACUUAAAGGAAUUGACGGAAGGGAACCACCAGGAGUGGAGCCUGCGGCUUAAUUUGACUCAACACAGGGAACCUCACCCGGCCCGGACACCGCAAGGAUUGACAGAUUGAGAGCUCUUUCUCGAUUCGGUGGGUGGUGGUGCAUGGCCGUUCUUAGUUGGUGGAGCGAUUUGUCUGGUUAAUUCCAAUAACGAACAAGACUCUAGCCGGUUAAGUAGCCCGAGCGGUUUUUGAUCUUUGCCGUCCAUCCUCGUGCCGACCUUCCGCACUU